GCAAACUUGGUCAUUUAGAGGAAGUAAAAGUCGUAACAAGGUAACCGUAGGUGAACCUGCGGUUGGAUCAUUAAUAAAUUCAAUCAAAAAAAGAAGAAGCACUUUUUUUAAAAAUGCUUUCUUUUUUUUUACACACAAUGUGAACUGUUUAUUGUCUCUGGUGGUGUUAAAAGCUUUUCGAAAGAAAAGUGGGAAUUUGAAACAGGUUCCUACCCACCGAUUUAAAUAAAAAACAUUUUUUAAAAAAAAACAAAAAUUGGCCUUUAUAUCUUUUUGAAAAAAAGUUAAAUUAAAAAACAACUUUUGGCAACGGAUCUCUAGGCUCUUGCAUCGAUGAAGAACGCAGC
Molecule: unclassified non-coding RNA, 347 nt
Filed under: uncultured fungus
Lineage: Eukaryota; Fungi
Description: partial contains small subunit ribosomal RNA, internal transcribed spacer 1, and 5.8S ribosomal RNA
Rfam family: Eukaryotic small subunit ribosomal RNA (bases 1-73)
Source: RNAcentral